This is a long non-coding RNA of Amblyraja radiata (thorny skate), 380 nucleotides long. RefSeq lists it as uncharacterized. The transcript has 3 exons. The record is from RefSeq and is a predicted model, not a curated record. NCBI's taxonomy places the organism in Eukaryota, Metazoa, Chordata, Chondrichthyes, Rajiformes, Rajidae.
AGGAGUUAAUAAAGACAAGGGCUGUUGCACCCUGGGGAAACAAGAGUGGAGCAGACAGCUGGCACAUCAGAAGGGCGCAAGCCCGAAUAUCAUGUCUGCACCUUGUAAAAACCUCACUCUUAUAAUUUAAACCCUUGCCUGAUCCUCAUGUGAUGUCUUUUGAACAGGACGCAGUUCAUGUCAGAAAAAUCUUUUCCAUGAAGACAGAGACCCUUUAAGAAAGUUUAAACUCAUUCAUUCGCACCUGAUAACUAUUUAAGCAAUCACUUUGAAGAAGAUUGGACUUCCAUCACAGAGAGGUCAACUGACAGAUCUCCAUGUCAUUGCUUGUGGUAAACACACAAGGACUAUUAUAAUGUUCAAGAAGGAACUGCAGAUGC